RNAcentral lists this non-coding RNA (48 nucleotides) under unclassified sequences. RNAcentral describes it as "gut-2 RNA". It matches the Rfam family "gut-2 RNA". Rfam says of the family: gut metagenomes. The record is from Rfam by way of RNAcentral.
AACCGGCUAAUAAGUGGGUUAGCCGAAGGACUGAACGGAGUCAUGACU